GAUGAACGCUGGCUACAGGCUUAACACAUGCAAGUCGAGGGGAAACGACGGGGAAGCUUGCUUCCCCGGGCGUCGACCGGCGCACGGGUGAGUAACGCGUAUCCAACCUGCCUCUGACUGAGGGAUAACCCGUCGAAAGUCGGCCUAAUACCUCAUGGCAUCGUCUGCGGGCAUCCAACGACGAUUAAAGAUUUCAUCGGUCAGGGAUGGGGAUGCGUCUGAUUAGCUUGUUGGCGGGGUAACGGCCCACCAAGGCUGCGAUCAGUAGGGGUUCUGAGAGGAAGGUCCCCCACAUUGGAACUGAGACACGGUCCAAACUCCUACGGGAGGCAGCAGUGAGGAAUAUUGGUCAAUGGGCGGGAGCCUGAACCAGCCAAGUAGCGUGCAGGAUGACGGCCCUAUGGGUUGUAAACUGCUUUUAUGCGGGGAUAAAGUGAGGGACGUGUCCUUCAUUGCAGGUACCGCAUGAAUAAGGACCGGCUAAUUCCGUG
Molecule: ribosomal RNA, 491 nt
Filed under: uncultured bacterium
Lineage: Bacteria
Description: partial 16S ribosomal RNA
Rfam family: Bacterial small subunit ribosomal RNA
Source: RNAcentral